Molecule: small RNA, 65 nt
Filed under: Sinorhizobium meliloti 2011
Lineage: Bacteria; Pseudomonadati; Pseudomonadota; Alphaproteobacteria; Hyphomicrobiales; Rhizobiaceae
Description: putative ncRNA
Source: RNAcentral
GAAAUAUCAGUUGUCCUUUGCCUAUCUGAUCCGUGUUGUCAGCCAAGGUAAGUACGAGUCGACCC